UACGUAGGGUGCGAGCGUUAAUCGGAAUUACUGGGCGUAAAGCGUGCGCAGGCGGUUCGUUGUGUCGGCGGUGAAAGCCCCGGGCUUAACCUGGGAAUGGCCGUCGAAACUGGCGAACUGGAGUGUGGCAGAGGGGGGUGGAAUUCCGCGUGUAGCAGUGAAAUGCGUAGAGAUGUGGAGGAACACCGAUGGCGAAGGCAGCCCCCUGGGUCAAGAUUGACGCUCAUGCACGAAAGCGUGGGGAGCAAACAGG
This 253-nucleotide ribosomal RNA is filed under the name uncultured bacterium. RNAcentral's name for it is "partial 16S ribosomal RNA". It matches the Rfam family "Bacterial small subunit ribosomal RNA", at positions 524 to 776 of the family's 1533-position model. The record is from RNAcentral.